RNAcentral lists this ribosomal RNA (803 nucleotides) under uncultured Mycoplasma sp. Its description in RNAcentral is "bacterial SSU rRNA". It matches the Rfam family "Bacterial small subunit ribosomal RNA", at positions 100 to 902 of the family's 1533-position model. Lineage: Bacteria; Bacillati; Mycoplasmatota; Mollicutes; Mycoplasmatales; Mycoplasmataceae. The record is from RNAcentral.
AAACGGGCGAGUAAUACAUAUUUAACUUACUUUUACGAGGAGGAUAGCAGUUCGAAAGGACUAUUAAUACUCCAUAGGUUUAUAAACUAAAUCAAAGAGGCUCCCUCGGGGGCCUCGCGUGAAAAUAGGAAUAUGUCCUAUUAGGUAGUUGGCGGGGUAAAGGCCCACCAAGCCAGUGAUGGGUAGCUGGACUGAGAGGUUGAACAGCCGCAAUGGGAUUGAGAUAUGGCCCAUAUUCCUACGGGAAGCAGCAGUGAGGAAUUUUUCACAAUGGACGAAAGUCUGAUGGAGCAAUACCACGUGAACGAUGAAGGUCUUCUGAUUGUAAAGUUCUUUUAUUUAGGAAAAAAAGCGCGCUAGGAAAUGAGCGCGCCUUGAUGGUACUAAUUGAAUAAGUGACAGCUAACUAUGUGCCAGCAGCUGCGGUAAAACAUAGGUCACGAGCAUUAUCCGGAUUUAUUGGGCGUAAAGGAAGCGUAGGUGGGGAGGUUGAUCCAUUGUUAAAGGCAUUUGCUUAACAAAUGUGUGCGAUGGAGAUCGCCUCCCUAGAGUUAAUCAGGGGGUACUGGAAUUCAAUGUGUAGCGGUGGAAUGCGUAGAUAUAUUGAGGAACACCAGAGGCUAAGGCGAGUACCUAGGAUAUAACUGACACUGAGGCUUGAAAGCGUGGGGAGCAAAUGGGAUUAGAUACCCCAGUAGUCCACGCCGUAAACGAUGGGCAUUAGGUAUUUGACAUCUAGUCGAGUGCUGUAGCUAACGCGUUAAAUGCCCCGCCUGGGUAGUAUAUAUGCAAAUAUGAAACUC